Molecule: ribosomal RNA, 644 nt
Filed under: Pinus densiflora
Lineage: Eukaryota; Viridiplantae; Streptophyta; Pinopsida; Pinales; Pinaceae
Description: eukaryotic LSU rRNA
Rfam family: Eukaryotic large subunit ribosomal RNA
Source: RNAcentral
AACGGCUCAGGCUGGUCCGCCGCUCGACUUGAGGUGCAAACCAACACAGGCUGCUGCAUCGUCACAAGGGUGGGUGGAUUACUGCCUAUCGGUUUGCCACUGCGGUGGUCGAGGAAUGAAUCGUGCACCCUUGUGGUGGGCUGUUUGCACCUAUGCGCUCGUGGUGUUGGUUGGCGGGCUUUCCAUUCGACCCAUCUUGAAACACAGACCAAGGAUUCUAACAUGUGUGCGAGUCGGCGGGUUUGAAAACCUGCGAGGCACAAGGAAGCUGACGGGCGAGAUCCCCUCUCUGGGGGGGUGCAUCGUCAACCGACCUUGAGCUUAUGCGAAGGGUUCGAGUGCGAGCACACCUGUUGGGACUCGAAAGAUGGUGAACUAUGCCUGAGCAGGGCGAACAGAGGAAACUAUGGUGGAGACUCAUAGCGAUACUGACGUGCAAAUCGUUCAUAUGACUUGGGUAUAGGGGUGAAAGACUAAUCGAACCAUCUAGUAGCUGGUUUCCUCCGAAGUUUCCCUCAGGAUAACUGGAGCUCACGCGCGAGUUUUAUCAGGUAAAGCAAAUGAUUAGAGGCAUCGGGGGUGUAACGCCCUUGACCUAUUCUCAAACUUUAAAUAGGUAAGAGGGUGUGGUUGCUCCAUUGAGC